GACGAACGCUGGCGGCGUGCCUAAUACAUGCAAGUCGAACGCAUUUUCUUUCACCUUAGCUUGCUACACCGACAGAAAAUGAGUUGCGAACGGGUGAGUAACACGUCGGUAACCUGCCCAUCAGCGUGGGAUAACACUUGGAAACAGGUGCUAAUACCGCAUAAUUCCAUUUACCGCAUGGUAAAUGGAUGUAGGGCGCUUUUACGUCACUGAUGGAUGGACCCGCGGUGCAUUAGGUAGUUGGGGGGUUAACGGGCUACCAAGGCUGAGAUGCAUGACCGAACCGGGAGGGGUAUCGGCCAACAUGGGAAUGAGAACAGGCCCCAACUCCUACGGGAGGCAGCAGUAGGGAAUCUUCGGCAAUGGACGGAAGUCUGACCGAGCAAAGGCGCGUGAGGGAAGAAGGGUUUCGGAUCGUAAAACUCUGUUGUUAGAGAAGAACAAGGAUGAGAGUGGAAAGCUCACCCCUUGACGGUAUCUAAUCAGAAAGCCACGGCUAACUACGUG
Molecule: ribosomal RNA, 507 nt
Filed under: uncultured bacterium
Lineage: Bacteria
Description: partial 16S ribosomal RNA
Rfam family: Bacterial small subunit ribosomal RNA
Source: RNAcentral